Molecule: long non-coding RNA, 922 nt
Organism: Zalophus californianus (California sea lion)
Lineage: Eukaryota; Metazoa; Chordata; Mammalia; Carnivora; Otariidae
Exons: 3
Source: RefSeq, a predicted model, not a curated record
ACCUCCCCCACCUCCCCCUCCCCCUCCCGCCGCGGGGUGGCGCGCGCCUCGGCCGUUGGGCCCGCGCGCGGGGGGCGGGGCGGGGCUGCGUGGGGAGGGCGCCACCGAGCGUCCCGGCCCCGUUAGCCCCGUCGCCUCCCACCGGAGUUCGGAUCCGCGCCCGGCCCGGCUCUCCGCGCCGCGUCUCCUGGACGGGUAAACUGAGGCCUGGAGAGGGCUCGGGUUCGAGUCCCGCCGCCGGUCACCCACUCCGAGGCGGCGCGGGGCCUGUGGGCAAGACGGCGUAGCCAAGAGCGGUCAGGUCUCGGCCCCACAGCCCGGCUGACGCAGAGCGGGCGCGUUGGGGCUCGAGUCCCCGCCCCUCUGCUGACCAGCUGUGAUGGAUGACCUUGAGCAAGUGACCUCGCUCCUCUCCCUGAGGGCCCUCGUCUCUCACGUGAUAGUACUUGAUCCAAGGGGCUGCUGGUGAGGUUAAGUUAAUGCUUGUAAAGCCCAUGGGACCGUGCAGGGACCUGAAAGAGCUCUCAAGACCCAAGCCAGGACUUGAGGGAUAUGUUCACGAGGCACCGGCAUUCCAGGCAGAGGGAUAGAAACAGGAAAGUGCAGGGCAGAUUCUACUGGAACUUCCCAGCCGGCAAACUUAUGUGAAACUUUCUGGGAGGUGACAUGAGUGGAAUUCUGCCUGAUUCCGGUGAGCUCUCUACGUCACCUCAGAGACAGGGGAAAGAAGCCGGAAGCAGACCCAGGCCUGUCUUCAUCCACCCUCAGCUAGCACAUGGCGAGCAUUCAAGAAUGGAGGCUGGGGCGACUGGGUGGCUCAGUUGGUUAAGCAUGUGCCUUCGGCUCAGGUCAUGAUCUCAGGGUCCUGUGAUGAGUCCCGCAUUGGGCUCCUUGCUCAGUGGGGAGCUUGCUUCUCCCUCUC